This 543-nucleotide ribosomal RNA is filed under the name uncultured bacterium. RNAcentral describes it as "partial 16S ribosomal RNA". It matches the Rfam family "Bacterial small subunit ribosomal RNA", at positions 355 to 914 of the family's 1533-position model. The record is from RNAcentral.
UGGGGAAUAUUGGACAGUGGGCGCAAGCCUGAUCCAGCCAUGCCGCGUGAGUGAUGAAGGCCCUAGGGUUGUAAAGCUCUUUCAGCGAGGAGGAUAAUGACGUUACUCGCAGAAGAAGCCCCGGCUAACUUCGUGCCAGCAGCCGCGGUAAUACGAAGGGGGCUAGCGUUGUUCGGAAUCACUGGGCGUAAAGCGCACGUAGGCGGACUUUUAAGUCAGGGGUGAAAUCCCGGGGCUCAACCUCGGAACUGCCUUUGAUACUGGAAGUCUGGAGUCCGAGAGAGGUGAGUGGAACUCCGAGUGUAGAGGUGAAAUUCGUAGAUAUUCGGAAGAACACCAGUGGCGAAGGCGGCUCACUGGCUCGGUACUGACGCUGAGGUGCGAAAGCGUGGGGAGCAAAACAGGAUUAGAUACCCUGGUAGUCCACGCCGUAAACGAUGGAAGCUAGCCGUCAGGGUGCAUGCAUCUUGGUGGCGCAGUUAACGCAUUAAGCUUCCCGCCUGGGGAGUACGGUCGCAAGAUUAAAAACUCAAAGGAAUUGAC